This 64-nucleotide transfer RNA is filed under the name Euprymna scolopes. RNAcentral describes it as "tRNA-Tyr". The record is from RNAcentral. Lineage: Eukaryota; Metazoa; Mollusca; Cephalopoda; Sepiida; Sepiolidae.
UAUGAGGUGGUCGAUUUAAGUCGGUAGAUUGUAAAUCUAUGAAUAAGUACAUACUUUCUCAUAA